GACGAACGCUGGCGGCGUGCUUAACACAUGCAAGUCGAACGGAAAGGCCCUGCUUUUGUGGGGUGCUCGGGUGGCGAACGGGUGAGUAACACGUGAGUAACCUGCCCUUGACUUUGGGAUAACUUCAGGAAACUGGGGCUAAUACCGGAUAGGAGCUCCUGCUGCAUGGUGGGGGUUGGAAAGUUUCGGCGGUUGGGGAUGGACUCGCGGCUUAUCAGCUUGUUGGUGGGGUAGUGGCUUACCAAGGCUUUGACAGGUAGCCGGCCUGAGAGGGUGACCGGCCACAUUGGGACUGAGAUACGGCCCAGACUCCUACGGGAGGCAGCAGUGGGGAAUAUUGCACAAUGGGCGGAAGCCUGAUGCAGCAACGCCGCGUGCGGGAUGACGGCCUUCGGGUUGUAAACCGCUUUCGCCUGUGACGAAGCGUGAGUGACGGUAAUGGGUAAAGAAGCACCGGCUAACUACGUG
This 468-nucleotide ribosomal RNA is filed under the name uncultured bacterium. RNAcentral's name for it is "partial 16S ribosomal RNA". It matches the Rfam family "Bacterial small subunit ribosomal RNA", at positions 28 to 507 of the family's 1533-position model. The record is from RNAcentral.